AUUGAACGCUGGCGGCGUGCUUAACACAUGCAAGUCGAGCGGGUAACAGGCGUAGCAAUACGUGCUGACGAGCGGCGAACGGGUGCGUAAUACAUGGGAAUCUGCCUUUUAGUGGGGAAUAACCCGGCGAAAGCCGGGCUAAUGCCGCAUAAGAUCUACGGGAUGAAAGCGGGGGAUCGUAAGACCUCGCGCUGAAAGAUGAGCCCAUGCCGGAUUAGCAGUUGGUGAGGUAACGGCUCACCAAGGCGACGAUCCGUAGCUGGUCUGAGAGGACGGCCAGCCACACUGGGACUGAGACACGGCCCAGACUCCUACGGGAGGCAGCAGUGGGGAAUAUUGGACAAUGGGCGAAAGCCUGAUCCAGCGACGCCGCGUGUGUGAAGAAGGCCUGCGGGUUGUAAAGCACUUUCG
RNAcentral lists this ribosomal RNA (411 nucleotides) under uncultured bacterium. Its description in RNAcentral is "bacterial SSU rRNA". It matches the Rfam family "Bacterial small subunit ribosomal RNA", at positions 29 to 438 of the family's 1533-position model. The record is from RNAcentral.